RNAcentral lists this ribosomal RNA (253 nucleotides) under uncultured bacterium. RNAcentral describes it as "partial 16S ribosomal RNA". It matches the Rfam family "Bacterial small subunit ribosomal RNA", at positions 524 to 776 of the family's 1533-position model. The record is from RNAcentral.
UACGUAGGGUGCGAGCGUUGUCCGGAAUUAUUGGGCGUAAAGAGCUUGUAGGCGGUCUGUCGCGUCUGCUGUGAAAAUCCGGGGCUCAACCCCCGACUUGCAGUGGGUACGGGCAGACUAGAGUGUGGUAGGGGAGACUGGAAUUCCUGGUGUAGCGGUGAAAUGCGCAGAUAUCAGGAGGAACACCGAUGGCGAAGGCAGGUCUCUGGGCCACUACUGACGCUGAGAAGCGAAAGCAUGGGGAGCGAACAGG